GAUCCUGGCUCAGAUUGAACGCUGGCGGCAUGCUUUACACAUGCAAGUCGAACGGUAACAGGUCUUCGGAUGCUGACGAGUGGCGAACGGGUGAGUAAUACAUCGGAACGUGCCUAGUAGUGGGGGAUAACUACUCGAAAGAGUAGCUAAUACCGCAUGAGAUCUACGGAUGAAAGCAGGGGACCUUCGGGCCUUGUGCUACUAGAGCGGCUGAUGGCAGAUUAGGUAGUUGGG
RNAcentral lists this ribosomal RNA (234 nucleotides) under uncultured bacterium. RNAcentral's name for it is "partial 16S ribosomal RNA". It matches the Rfam family "Bacterial small subunit ribosomal RNA", at positions 15 to 253 of the family's 1533-position model. The record is from RNAcentral.